GCCGCUGUAGCGCAAUGGUAGCGCAUCGCUUUCCUAUGUGCAAAUGCCAGACGUUAGGCGGGGGUUGCGGGUUCGAUCCCCGUCAGCGGUU
Cytidiella melzeri is the source of this 91-nucleotide non-coding RNA. NCBI's taxonomy places the organism in Eukaryota, Fungi, Basidiomycota, Agaricomycetes, Polyporales, Irpicaceae. The record is from the annotation of a GenBank genome assembly.